Molecule: long non-coding RNA, 12233 nt
Filed under: Capsicum annuum
Lineage: Eukaryota; Viridiplantae; Streptophyta; Magnoliopsida; Solanales; Solanaceae
Description: long non-coding RNA (CANN_LNC014647)
Source: RNAcentral
AAUAAUUGGUCUGAGAGCCCAUUUAUUGCUGAAUAAAAAUUAAUUCAAACAACAAAAACUCGGACCAAAUGAUUCAAAAAUGAAAAGAAAACAAAGGAAAAUUAAAAAAAAAAAUAGCAAAUCUCAAAAAGGAAAUUACACAAAGAUAAAGAACUUCAAUCGCCUCUUCUCCUUGUUCAUCGUAGGACCAGAUUGAUGAUAUCAAUUCACUGAUGAAGAAGCACCUGACCAGUUGAAUUAUUAAAUCAAUUCAUUCUUCCACCAUAAAUUUCUAGCAUGAAGAAUUUGGGUGGAUUGCUCAAAGAGCAUUCAAAAACUCUCACAAAUGCCAAGUCAAUCAAUCCUUGAAGACGUCUUCAACUCCUUAGCUAAUGAUCCAGAAAAAGAAGAAAUCCUCAGCUAAAAUAACUCCACAGUCAUCUACAACUUGGUAUAUUGAAGAGAAAACCUUUUCAGUAUUCAACGUCAAUCAAUUUCUAAUUGAGUAUUUACGAAUUGUAAUCAGGUGUAUUACAUUGAAGCUCAACUAACCCUAUCCAUUUUUUCUCAGACUGAGCCAUAGACUAAUACCACUGCCAAAGGAUCAAAGGGAAAGGUACACCGAACAACUAUAAUACUCCCUUACUGCAUCAUGUUUUAAUCACUAAUUUGUGUCUCCAAACUUGGUUUAUGUUGUUAUAUUAUGAGGUUGUUGUGAUUUUGAGCUCCUUGUUUUGGUAUUUCCUGAUUCUGAGGUUCGGCAUUUGAAUGUUAUCCAUGUGCAGAAUUAUCUUUGCCUCUCUUGGUAAAUCCUGAAAUGUAUUGUAUAUUAGUUGUUGUGUACCUGCAAAAUAGUGAAUGUGGUUAGUUAAAAAUUCUGCGAGUAUGUUGCCUUCUUUGAAUGUGUGUGUCACUUCCACCAAUACAUUCACCAUUAACAUCUUCAUUUUCUUUAUCUCCAUUGAAAUAGCCAAGGCACCUCCCACACACCAUCUAAGACUUUCUUCAAAAUCAUAAAAUCUAUUUCAAUCACCAACAGGGUGUAGUAAUUGUUCAGGUGUUAUUCCAAUUCUAUCUUUAAUGCCAUGACUUCAGCUCUAAUACUUGGACCAUCAUUAAUCUUUUUUGUUUCUGCAUACAUCAAGUUACCUUCCCAAUUUCACACACAAAAGGUACAAGAGCUGCUCCCAAUCUCCCCUUUCGAUGAACCAUCUGUAUUACACUUGUAGACUGCUUCACCUGGUACUAACCAUUUUACUACUUGAACCUCAAUCCUAGGUAAGUAUUGUUCAAAAAACUGAAUGAUUUCAGGCCAUGUGGCUAGUAAGUGGGUUAACCAGGGGAAUCUAGUUCUGGCAAACAUAGAAAUAUUACUAUUAACUUCCAUCUUCAUCCUCCAAUAAGAAUAUUUACCGCCAUGUCUGAUUGUAUUCCUAGCCUUCCAAAUCUGCCAAAGAGUGAAGAUAAACAUAGCUUGAUACAAAGGUUUCACCUUAGUAUUGCAGUCAACAUUCCACCAUCUGUGUGUUGAGCAUUUUAGCUGUACAAAAGGACCUCUUACACCUUCAAUACAAGAAAAUGAUUGCCACAACCUAGUAGCUUUAUCACAAGUUAGAAAUAAAUGUUUCCAGAUUUCUAUAACUUGCUCAUUGUAGUAGCAAUAGAUCAUAUCAUCAGAGAUACCCAUUCUUCUAUUAAUCUCCCCAAUAGGAAGUCUCUCCUUGCAUAACCUCCAGAAGAAAAAGUUAAUUUUAAAGGUCAUUUCUUUAAUCCAUAUUAACCUAUAUACUUUUUUUUCCUCAGCUCUUUGUCUAAUCAACUCCUAGGCACUUCCCACGGUGAAUUUACCAGUGCUAUUUUUCAUCCACCAAGCAUAAUCCUAUUUGCCAUCUUUAAUUAUCUCUGGUAGUUCUUUGUAAAUACGCUGACAAAUGUCUUCAGGGAACAGUUGAGCCAUCAGCUCCUCAUUUCAGCCUUCAUCAUGCCAAAAUUGAUUUAUAUCCUCCACCUUAUAGUUAAAAAAAUGAUUGAUAGGAAGAUAGAAAUAAAGUGCACCCAGUUUAGUCCAAUUAUGAAACCAAAUACUAGAGUGUCCAUAUUUAGGUUCCCAUUAAAUUUCUUUAUCAAUAGAAUCUCUAGCUUUCAACAUAAAUUUCCAGGUUUGGGUGUAGCGCCCCAAAUCUGGCACCUGAAAUGCUACACGAUGCUCAUGACCCCGAAGGACCACAAGCUAACCCAUGACUGAUAUCUGAACGUGUUCACUGCAUAAAAUCAUGUAAAAUGCGGAAAUAGUAGGCUGAAACAUGCCAUAAGGCUCAAAAACUGAAUAAAACAUUUGAUAAAACCAUAUCCGAAUAAUGUGGUAUCACAAUACCAAAACUGAAGUAAAUGUCUGAAAAUACUGAAGUCUGAAUCUAGUCCAAAAGCCUCUAAUUGACUGAGCUGUCUGAAUAAGGAGUUGAUGGGACAUGUCCCCAACUAACUCUAUCCACUGAAAACUAAGCUGAAAUAAUGAAAUAAAUCAUCAUAUCGUCCUCGAAUAAUGAGAACUCACUGCUGAAAUCUGGAAUGCUACUGAUGCUCUGGAGCUCGUGCUUCUGAACCUAUGGUAUAAAACACCAUAGCGCAAAUGCGUCAGUACGAUUGAAUGUACUGGUAUGCAAGUGAGGUAGGCUGAAUGCAAAGGGUUUAUAUGCAUGAGCAAUAUUAGCUGACUGAAUAACAUGAACGUGAGAAUUCAUGCAUGAAUACGUGAACUGUAUCUGAGUUCGUGAGAUUACUGACUUCUGAGUCUGAAUACUGAUAUCAUGAGUUACUGAUAACUGAUAUAACUGAUACCGAGCGACUGUGUCUGAUAGUCUAGGGUCUGAUGGAACUAGCUGAGUUCCGUAUUGUUCUGAGUUGACUGUAUCUGACAGUCCUGAAGGCUGUAGAACUAUCUAAGUUCUAUUACUGAGAUUGAGACUGAAACUGUAAUUGUGAGAAGUAGUCAUCUAACCGACAUGCCCCAAAUAAAGCAAUAUAGUUGAGUUGGGGUCCAAUCUGUAACCCCAAUUAGAAGGGUGUCAAUACCGUGCCACCGGUAAAGAUAAGCUGUGGGUGACCCUCAUCUGACAGUGUCCCCAAAAGAGAACGGUCGGACCUCAUUUGACAGUGUUUAUCCACCUCAUCAACCCUCAUCUGUCAGUGUUGAUGUCUCAACCUAUGUUGGCUACAUAGUUCUGUAACGCAAGGAUUCUUCUAAGGAUCACACCUUUUUCUGUCAGUGUGUGUCCUUAUCCUUGGGUUCACUCGGUGCUAAAUCCUACUCCCAUAUGAAUAGACUCUGAACAUGAUUAAUUGAACUGAUCUGGACUGGGUUCAUUGAGUUUCGUUGACUGACGGAAUACUACUGAGAUUACUGAAUUACUGAGAUUACUGGGAUUACUGAGUUUACUGAGUUUUCCUGAGUCACACGACUGACUGAGUUCUAUGGAUCAUGGCUUGACUGAGAGUAUCUUGACAUGGAAAUGGCUCUUGGAACACAACUAAAUUAUCGAGUUCAAGUACUACCAGGACUCGAUAGAAGGAAACUGACAAGGCAUGACAUUCUUGAAUACAUGACCAACAUCAACAAUCCAUAAUACAAUAAGUUGGGGAUUUCAUGAAGUACAUGGUUAUCAUAAUCUUGUACAUGGUAGGAAUACAUAUAAUCAAUGUCAUAAUUUCAUAUUCUAAUAUCAUGAGCAUUCCAACAAACAUCUACAUUGCACACCAAUAGCAUGGGAGUCAUUUGAACAUAAGGGUAAAACAUGGAUUUAUCAAUUUUGGUCACAAAUGAGUCAUAAGGAAUAAUUCCUAUUCUUUUAGGCAUUUUAUCAAACACCUUGCAUGCAUAUCUUUAGGCUUAGGCAUGAAUAUUGAAAUAAUACAUCAUGGCAACAUUUUACACUUCCAAUGCAAGAAUUUCAACCAUAUACUAACAUAAUUUCAUGAUAAUCAUUACAGACUUCAACUUGGAAAUCAAACCACAACAUAAACAUGGAUAUAACUCAAUUCAUAUCAUGAAAUCCAAAGUUUAUAUUUCAAAUAGGGUUUCUUGAGCUUCAUGGGUGAAAGGAACCCAUGAAUCAACACUUGACAUACCUGGGUGGAUGAUUUCUUGAAGAUUGGUGGAGGAAAACUUGAAUUCUUGACUUGGGAUUAGACACCUAGGGUUUCUUGUUCUUGGGGAUUGAUCUUUGAGAGAAAUCCUAAUUUGGUGUGUGGAUGAAUAAUGAAGUUAUGAGCUCUGGUCUGUUAUAAUUAGGAGUUAAAACGGGUGGAAAAAGACCCAAAUACCCUUUUAAAAAUGGCUUAAAAUCGUUGAUCAACAGUGGUGACGGUUUAGGUGACGGUCCGUCGCUGGCUCGACGGUCCAUCGGUCCAUCCCGUCGUACUUGGCCAGAACCUGAACUUUCUGCCUCGUCUGCGACGGUUUGGGUGACGGUCCAUCACUAGCUUGCCGGUCCGCUGGUCCUAACCGUUGCACUUGGCCAGAAGAUAGGUUCACUGCCUUAGUCGCGACGGCUAGCGACGGACCGUCGGCCUGACCAUCGCUUCUGGGCAGUUUCGACAGUUCUCUGUAAAACGUCCAUAAGUUUUUACUCCGAUACCAGAUUUGGACGAAAUUGGUAUCGUUGGAAAGCUAAUUCAAUUUCUCACAUGAUAAAAAGUCAAAAUUGGGGAAAUUCUAUCUGAUUUAAAAAUUAAUCAUUUAGGAAGUCAUCACUAACUCUUCUGGAGACUAGAUAUGACUUAAAGAAAGUUUGGGGUAUUACAUUGGGACCCCCUCUUCUACCAAUUGAGGUCUAUGCCUUUUACAAUACUUAUUCCAUAAGAAAUUAGUCCACAUGAAUUUUUUGGUUUUGAAAAUGUCACGACCCGAUACUAUCCCCUAGUCGUAAUAUGGUGCUUGGAACCACAAGUGAUCCCAAGCUAACCCAUGAACUAGCAUACAACUUGAGCAAUAGAUUUAAAUUGUAUAAAAACUAAAUUUAUUGAGCGAAAACAUGAUUAUGAGAAAGUCUGAAUAAAUGUAAUACUGAUAAAGUUUACAACAUAUAAAACUGAAGAAAGAAACUUGAAUUACAUGUAAUGACUCUGACUGACUAUCUACGAAGCCUUUACUAUACUGACUGUAGGAGGUUGGGACAUGCCUCCAACUACCACAAAUCAAUACAUAAUAAUGAUAAUAGUACAGUACAUGAACUACAACUGACUGGAGUUCCCAAAAUAGGAGAACUCAUCACUUACUGGCUGAAAGCUGAGAACUGUCUAACCCUGGUGUAUGAGCUACAUCUGGUACCUACAUUAUGAAAGAUGUAGCCACAAACGCAUAUAUGUGGUCAGUACUUUAGAAUGUACUGAGUAUAUGGAGACAUGCACUAAAUUAUGAAAAUAUUUAAACAUGCUUUAAAAAUAAGGACAUAAGUUAUUUGCUGAAACAUAAAUUUAAAACAUGGCUAUACGUGAAAACUGUAAGUCAUAGUGAGAUUUAUAAAUCAUGAGCUAAAAAUAAUUUUGUAAAUUGUAACACGGUAAAACAUGAAUAUUGUAUGUGAAUCUCAUAUAAAGCUAAACAUGCUGUAAAACUAAACUGAGGAUCAUGUGUGGAUACUGAGCAUGAAAACAUGAGCAUGUAAAAUUGAGAAUGCAAGACCAAGUAAAACAUGUACUGAAAUGAUCUGAAUAACUGAAAAUUUGAUUACUUGGUCAAACAAUCCUGAACUUUUAUAGACUGAGUACUAACUGAAACUUUAGGAGCUAUCAUUUAACCGACAUGCCCUAAUCUGAUCUAAUCGGGGUCUAAACUGUAACCCUAGUUGGAAGGGUAUUAGUACCUUGCCACGGGUACUAACACAGGCUGACAAUGUGGAUCCACAAGGCUGAUAUCCCAUAGGACUAGGGAGUCACCCUCUACUAGCAGGUGCCUCUAAAAGAGUGUCAACCCGCUACUGGAUGGAAGACCUCUCAAAACCUACGCUGGCUGCGUAGUUCUGGAACUCAGGGACUACUACUAAAGGUCAAACCCUCUGUUGGAAGGUGAGCCCCCAUCCUUGGAUUUGCUCGGUGCUAAAUCCUACUCCCAACCGAAAGACACUGAAAUACUAUCUGGUGCAUACACUAAAGCUGAUAAGCUCAGGUCAUGGUCUUUUGAAAACAUCAGUUCAACAGAGUCUGAAGUAAUCAUAAACAUGUAAACUGAUAGUGCUCGACAUGAUUGUAACAAAUUGAGUUUAACAAUAAAAUCAUGGAUUGACUGACACAUUACUUGAAAAGUCUGAAAUGCAAGUAAACAUGUAGGUACAGGUAUUCAUAACCCGCCUACACUGAAUGAUUACAGAAUUCGAUAACAACACUUAAAACAAUGAUAUAAGGUCAUAAUUCAAAGACCCAAAACAUGAGAUAUUUUAAUAAUUGAGUGAAAUACAUGUACCUGAACAUGGAGAUGAGUUAAACUUGAGAAAACAACAUAUUCACAUGAUUUAAUUCAUAACUUGAAGAUUUUACAAGGAAUCACUUGAAUAGAACAUGAGUAAUUGAAAUUCAAAGCAUGAAAUAAACUAAUUUACAUGAGAACACAUGUUAACAUGGCUUGAAUUCUAAUUACUAAGAAAUAUAUGGAUUAAGUUCAUAAGUUGCAUGGAUAAUUUCAUAAAAUAGGAUAUAAUUCAUACUUUAAACCAAAAAAAGGAGUUUUUGGGCUCAAUGGGUAAAAGGAACCCAUUGAUGAAUACCCCACAUACCUCAAUGGUUAGAUUUUUGAAGAAUGCUUGAACUUGAAAACUUGAACUCUUGAAUUCUUGGGAGGAGAAACGUGAAUUCUUUGUUCUUGGGAAGGGGGAGGGUUUCUGCGUGAGUUAUUUUGAUGAUAAUGGGCAAAUAAAGCCCUUUUGAGUGUUAUAAGUCGUAUUUUGGACGACUAGCGUUCAAGGAAAAGGACCAAAUUACCCCUUGACCCCUUUAAUCAUGAAGCUGGAAAUACAACGCCUCUGUAUCGCAGACCCUAUAGCUGGGGAAUAGCCGAUGUGGUGCGGACCCUAUUUCGGGGGAAUAGCCUACGUGGUGUGGAUCCUAUUUCAGGGGAAUAGUCUAUGUAGUGGUACCCUAUUCCUGGGGAAUAGCCUACAUAGAUAAGACCCUAUUUCGGGGGAAUAGCCUACGUGGCGCGGAGCUAUCACUAACCCUUAGUGUUUCUCAUGAAAAUGGUCAUAACUUUUUGCUCGGAUAUCGGAUUAAGGCGAAAUCAGAUACAUUGGAAAGAGGACUCAAUUAUCUAUUAUUUGGUUGGUCUUGAGAUGAAAAAUUCCAUAUAUUUCAAAAGUUAUACACGUUCAAAGUUGACCCUUGUAGGAUCAAAUACCAAAAUUUGGCCGAAUCCAGAGCUCUUAACUCUACUUUGCUGUAAGUGUUUCCUAUGAACAUUUUUUACCUAGAUAACACUUGACACACUAGGAUAAUGAUCAUGACACAUAUAUUCACAUACAAAUCAUGGGAUUAGAGUUUAUACACGUAGAAAUAAUGGUUCGAAUUUUAGCCCAAAAAUGUGGGGUGUUACCGAAAAUCCACUAUAACUUGGAAAAUAGAGCCUUUGAUACAUCAAAAAGAGAUCUAAGCCCCAUACCUCCUUCCUCUUUUGGCAGACACAUAUCAUUCCAUGCAACCCAGUGCUUAUUCUUGCCUACUUCCUUGUCAUUCCACAUAAAUCUAGCAAAAACUCGAUGUAGAUCAUGUAUGACGCACUUUGGAGGAGAAAUAACAGAUAGAAGGUAAAUAGGAAUGUUCUGCAAUACAUUCUUUAUAAGAUCAUAUUUACCUCCAAAAGAUAGAAGUUUACCUUUCCAAGCCUACAACUUAUUUGAACUUUCUUAAUCAAAUCUGAAAAAUGAAAUUUCCUUUUCCUAUUAUGUAUGGCCAAUAGGGUAGCCAAGGUAAGUAAGAGGAAACUUUCCUUUAGUAAACCCAGUAACACCUUCAAUCUCUUGAAUAAUACUCCCAACAGUCUUAUUAUGGACAUAGAAGAAGCUCUUUUCUUCAUUAAUCUUUUGUCCUGAUUGUUAUUCAUAAUCACAAGGAGUAUGCAUAACUAGUUGCAUACUUUUCUUAUCUGUAGAGGUGAAAAUAAUGGUAUCAUCUGCAUAUGAUAUAUGAGUAAUAUGUUCACUCCAUUUAGGCAUUCCAAAACCCUUAAACUCCUUGUUAUUAAAUAAUUCACUUUAGUUUUUAGAUAACACUUCAGCAACCAAAAUAAAAAGUGCAGGUGAUAAUGCUUCACCCCUUUAGUAGAAUGAAAGAAACCGUGAGCUUGUCCAUUAAUUAAGACAGAAUAUCAAUUAUUCGAAAGCAAUCUCUAGAUUUUAUCAACUAUUCCUUUAUCAAAACCUAUUUUUUUCAAAACCGCAAUUAAGAAGCACCAUCCAACUCUAUCAUAAGCCUUAGUCAUAUCAAGUUUAAUAACCACAUUAGCAUGCUUAGCCCUUUUUUUUAUAUCAAUGAUGAUUUCUUGUGCCAACAAAACUUUUUCAAAAAUGCUCCUUUCUUUCACAAAAUCAGACUGAUUUUGAGAAAUAAGUCUUGGUAAUAAAUCCUCCAACCUAUCAUGCAGUAUGCUUGAAAUAAUCUUGUUGAGAAAAUUACUAAGACUUAUAUGUCUUAAAUCUGAAAAUGAUUAUAUCACUUCUUUUUUAGGAAUAAGGAUUAAAUUUGUAUGGGUAAUUGAUUUAGGAAGAGUCUGACCUUUAAAAAAGGCAUUAAUCACUGCAUACACACAUCUUUUCGUAAAAAUUUCCAACACCUUUGAAAGAAUAAGUCAUUGAAAUCAUCAGGACCAUAAGCACUGUCACCAUUUAACUCAAAAACAACACCAUUUAUCUCUUCUUCAGAAUAUAUGUCAUUUAAGCAUCUGUUUUCUUCCUCAGUCACUAUUUGAGGGAUUGCUUCCAGUAAAGAAAAUUCACCUUUAUAUAAAUGAGAAGUAAACUGGUUCUUGAAAAAAUUUAUUGCUUCAGUUGCUACCUGGUCUUUUCCUUCUGCCCAUUCUCCAUUAGCUUUUUAAAUCCUCUAAAUAUUCAAUCUAUUUCUCCUACCUUUGUCUAGACUAUGAACAAACUUGGUAUUAUGAUCUCCUUUAGAAAACCAUUGUAUACCAGCCUUUUGCCUCUAAUAAUCCUCCUCUAUCUUCAAAUAUUUGAUCAACUCAGCUGGGCUUGCCUCAAAAUAACCCUAUUAGCUCCAGUAGGGAGUUCUUCAAAUAACUCCAGGUUUAUCGACCUGGAAAAGGCUUACGACAAAGUCCCCAGGGAGGUGUUUUGGAGAUGCUUGGAGGUGAGUGGAGUACUGCAGGCAUAUAUCAGACUAAUUAAGGAUAUGUAUGACGGAGCGAAAACCCAGGUGAGGACGGCGGGAGGAGACUCAGAGCAUUUCACUGUCCUGACAGGAUUGCAUCAGGGAUCUACUCUUAGUCCCUUUUUGUUUGCGUUGGUGAUGGAUGUGUUGACGCGGCGUAUUCAAGGGGAGGUGCCGUGGUGUAUGCUUUUUGCAGACGAUGUAGUUCUGAUAGAUGAGACUCGAGGGGGUGUGAAUGAUAAGUUAGAGGUGUGGAGGCAAACUCUUGAGUCUAAAGGGUUCAGGGACGCGAGGGGGUGUGAACGACAAAUUAGAGCUGUGGAGGCAAACUCUGGAGUCUAAAGGGUUCAGGGUGAGCAGAACCAAGACAGAGUAUGUGGAAUGUAAGUUUAAUGACGUAAGGCGAGAGAAUGAGGUAGUGGUGAGGCUAGAAGCGCAGGAGGUAAAGAAAAGGGAUAAGUUCAAGUACCUCGGGUCCGUGAUCCAGAGUAACGGUGAGAUUGACGAGGAUGUCUCGCACCGUAUCGGGGCGGGAUGGAUGAAGUGGAAACUUGCAUCGGGGGUGCUGUGUGAUAAGAAGGUGCCGCCCAAGCUUAAAGGUAAAUUCUAUAGGGUGGUAGUCCGUCCGGCCUUGCUGUAUGGAGCGGAGUGUUGGCCAGUUAAGAACUCCCACACCCAAAGAAUGAAGGUGGCAGAAAUGCGGAUGUUGCGCUGGAUGUGUGGACUGACUCGAGGGGAUAGAGUUCGGAAUGAGACUAUCCGGGAGAAGGUUGGUGUGACUUCAGUGGAGUGUAAGAUGCGGGAAGCACGAUUGAGAUGGUUCGGACACGUGAAGAGGAGGGGCAUGGAUGCCCCGGUCCGUAGGUGUGAGAGGCUAGCGUUGGAUGGUUUUAGACGGGGUAGGGGUAGGCCGAAGAAGUACUGGGGUGAGGUGAUUAGGCGGGACAUGGAACAGUUACAGCUCACCGAGGACAUGACCCUAGAUAGGAAGGUCUGGAAGACGCGAAUUACGGCAGAGGAUUAGGGCCAGUUUGGGUCGCUAGUGUAGGGAUUACUUGGUGGGGGUUUUAUUCCUGUUAUGAUUCCGUGUUCCGUGUUACAUGUUUUAUUACGAAUCUGUGUGCUUUCCUCUGCUUCCCUCUGUUUUAUAUUACUUAUGGGUGCCGUAUUUAUGUUAUGUAAUCUGCUUCUGUGCUUUACUAUGUGUUUGUGUGGUAUCUCGUGCCUUGAGCCAGGGGUCUUUCGGAAACAGCUUUUCUACUUCAUCAGAGGUAGAGGUAUGGCAUGCGUACAUUUUACCCCCAGACCCCACUAGGUGGGAAUACACUGGGUUUGUUGUUGUUGUUGUUGUUGUUGUAAUAUCUUCCCUAAUUGCAAGCUGCUGAAAAAUAUCCCCCAACUUUUCUUUACCCCAUUUAGUCAAGGCUAUUUUUGACAUCUUCAUUUUUAAUUUCAAAUUUAUGAAAACAUCCUCAUGAGCAACAGAUUCCCAAGAAUUUUAAACUACUUCUUUGAAGCCUUCAGUAUCCACCCAAAUGUUCAAAAAUCUGAAAGGUCUAUUAGUAUGCUCUUCUAGACCUCCACAGAUUGAUAAAAGAGGGGCAUGAUCUGAUCCGAUCCUGUCCAGAUGUUCUAACUUUACCUUACCAGCAAUACCAUAAAAUUCUUGAUUAAUAAGCAAUCUAUCAAGUCUCUUGAAUAUACAUUCUGCAUCAGCUCUUUCAUUCCACCAUGUGAAGGGGCUAGCUUUAAAGUUCAUAUCUAAUAAUCCACAAAAAUUGAUAGAAAAGGAAAAAUCUUCAUAUUCUUGUGGAUAUACUAAAAGCCCUCCAAUUUUCUCUUCAGCAUCAAGAAUAACAUUAAAAUCCCCUCCCACAAGCCAAGGCAAUCUCAAGUUAUUAUGGACAACAUAUAUAUCACUCCACAAGUCCAUUCUUUGAUUAGAAUCUCAUUUUGCAUAUACAUAGGUGAUCACCAUUUCCUGACUAUCGUCCAUGAUCUUCAAUUUAAUAGUGAUCUGUUGUUCAAAAUCUGCCAGAACCUCUACUUGGAUGUUGUUUUGAACAAAAAUCCAUAUCUUCUCAUUUAUAUUACAAUUAGCAUAUUCCAUCAGUAAUUUUCUUUUAUAUUUCUGCAGUUGAUUAGCCUCCUGAAAUGGUUCCAUUAAGGCUAUAAAACUGAAUUUUUGAUGCCUGUGAAGCAUUUGAACCCUAUAAAAAGCAUGAUUAGUACUCACAGACCUUAUGUUUCAAAACAACAUUUUCAUAUUCAUUUAUCACAUGAUUUGGCUCCCUUUUUAGGAAAUACUCUCUUAACUUGAUGCACCUCUGAUUUGCCUCUAAUUCUCAACUGUGUUGUUGGUGAUAAUCUAUCUAUCCUCAUAACUUCUUUAAAAUUCUGAGAAUUGUUCUCUAUUUCUUUUUCUCUUCACUCUUCUCAUUAUAUUUGUGAGAUACUAGGUCAUGUAAUUUCUUAACAGGUGGUGAACUCCCAUUUUCCUGAAUUAGAAUUGGUAAAAUAACCAAGUCUUGCACUUCUUUUGUUGAUGUGGAUUCUAUCAUUUCUGUUUCACUUGCAGGUGGGUAUCUUUCAGUGGACUCAAAAUUAUCUGCUUCUUCCAAGGUGGUAUCUACUUUCAAGGGCUCAUGAUAUGUGGCAUUGGCUAGUUGAUCCUCAUGAUCUAUAAAUUCUUCUAUCUGUAAAGUAUUCUCCAGAAUUCAUUCACCGACGUCGUUGUUUUUACAGGUGAUAGUCAAACUAAAUGCAUCAUCUUCCUGGGCAUCGCCACUGUAAUGUGAAGAAGAAUUUAGCUUUUCAGCACUAAUCUCAUCUGUCAUUGUUGUGCUACUGAUGGAUUUUUCUUCUUGAUUACAAUUACAAUUCUCUGC